UGGGGAAUAUUGGACAAUGGGCGAAAGCCUGAUCCAGCAAUGCCGCGUGUGUGAAGAAGGCCUGCGGGUUGUAAAGCACUUUCGUUGGGGAGGAUGGUGAGUAUUGUUAAUAGCAAUAUUCAUUGACGUUACCUGAAGAAGAAGCACCGGCUAACUCUGUGCCAGCAGCCGCGGUAAUACGUAGGGAGCAAGCGUUGUUCGGAUUUACUGGGCGUAAAGGGCGCGUAGGCGGCGCGGUAAGUCACUUGUGAAAUCUCUGAGCUUAACUCAGAACGGCCAAGUGAUACUGCAGUGCUAGAGUGCAGAAGGGGCAAUCGGAAUUCUUGGUGUAGCGGUGAAAUGCGUAGAUAUCAAGAGGAACACCUGAGGUGAAGACGGGUUGCUGGGCUGACACUGACGCUGAGGCGCGAAAGCCAGGGGAGCAAACGGGAUUAGAUACCCUUGUAGUCCCUGAGCGGGCUGGCAAGGCGCAU
Molecule: ribosomal RNA, 473 nt
Filed under: uncultured bacterium
Lineage: Bacteria
Description: bacterial SSU rRNA
Rfam family: Bacterial small subunit ribosomal RNA
Source: RNAcentral